CCCCAUGUAGCCCAACUGGUAGAGGCGCUAGUCUUAGAAACUAGGCGAUGGGAGUUCGAAUCUCUCCAUGGGGACCA
RNAcentral lists this transfer RNA (77 nucleotides) under Sphingopyxis sp. JAI128. Its description in RNAcentral is "tRNA-Leu". It matches the Rfam family "tRNA". From Rfam's summary of the family: Transfer RNA (tRNA) molecules are approximately 80 nucleotides in length. The record is from RNAcentral. Lineage: Bacteria; Pseudomonadati; Pseudomonadota; Alphaproteobacteria; Sphingomonadales; Sphingopyxidaceae.